RNAcentral lists this signal recognition particle RNA (193 nucleotides) under Fidelibacterota bacterium. RNAcentral describes it as "partial signal recognition particle sRNA large type". It matches the Rfam family "Bacterial large signal recognition particle RNA", at positions 74 to 256 of the family's 256-position model. From Rfam's summary of the family: The signal recognition particle (SRP) is a universally conserved ribonucleoprotein involved in the co-translational targeting of proteins to membranes. Archaeal SRP consists of a 7S RNA and homologues of the eukaryotic SRP19 and SRP54 proteins. In most bacteria, the SRP consists of a 4.5S RNA and the Ffh protein (a homologue of the eukaryotic SRP54 protein). The record is from RNAcentral. Lineage: Bacteria; Pseudomonadati; Fidelibacterota.
UCGUCGCCGAGUAAUUGGGUUGGAUCAAGCAGUGUUGAAGUUUCAAUCUGUUGCAAUGGGCAGCAGGUAAAUCCCGUCAGGCCCGGAAGGGAGCAGCGGUAAGCCUUGCGACCCAUGUGCUGGCAGACCUCUGGAACUGAGCUGGCUGGUUCGGGUUAAAUUAUGUUCGGGAUGGUCAAACGACGGUGCACGG